This 421-nucleotide ribosomal RNA is filed under the name uncultured bacterium. RNAcentral describes it as "partial 16S ribosomal RNA". It matches the Rfam family "Bacterial small subunit ribosomal RNA", at positions 360 to 773 of the family's 1533-position model. The record is from RNAcentral.
AAUAGUGGACAAUUGGAGCAACACUGAGCCAUCCUUGCCGCGUGUGUGAAGAAGUACUUCGGAUUGUAAAGUACGUUAAGUUGGUUAGAAGGGCUUUAGGCUAAUAAACUGAUGUUUUCACGUUACAAACAUAUUAAGCACCAUCUAAUUCUGUGACAGCAGUCGCGGUAAUACAGAGGGUGCAAGCUUUAAUCGGAAUUACUGUGCGUAAAGCGCGCGUAGGUGGUUCAGUAAGAUGGGUGUGAAAUCCCCGGGCGUAACCUGGGAACUGCUUUCAUAACUGCUGAGCUAGAGUACGGUAGAGGGUAGUGGAAUUUCCUGUGUAGCGGUGAAAUGCGUAGAUAUAGGAAGGAACACCAGUGGCGAAGGCGACUACCUGGACUGAUACUGACACUGAGGUGCGAAAGCGUGGGGAGCAAAC